RNAcentral lists this ribosomal RNA (460 nucleotides) under uncultured bacterium. RNAcentral's name for it is "partial 16S ribosomal RNA". It matches the Rfam family "Bacterial small subunit ribosomal RNA", at positions 338 to 795 of the family's 1533-position model. The record is from RNAcentral.
CCUACGGGGAGCAGCAGUGAGGAAUAUUGGUCAAUGGACGAGAGUCUGAACCAGCCAAGUAGCGUGAAGGAUGACUGCCCUAUGGGUUGUAAACUUCUUUUAUAUGGGAAUAAAAUGUUCCACGUGUGGGAUUUUGUAUGUACCAUAUGAAUAAGGAUCGGCUAACUCCGUGCCAGCAGCCGCGGUAAUACGGAGGAUCCGAGCGUUAUCCGGAUUUAUUGGGUUUAAAGGGGGCGUAGGUGGAUUGUUAAGUCAGUUGUGAAAGUUUGCGGCUCAACCGUAAAAUUGCAGUUGAAACUGGCAGUCUUGAGUACAGUAGAGGUGGGCGGAAUUCGUGGUGUAGCGGUGAAAUGCUUAGAUAUCACGAAGAACUCCGAUUGCGAAGGCAGUUCACUGGACUGCAACUGACACUGAGGCUCGAAAGUGUGGGUAUCAAACAGGAUUAGAUACCCGUGUAGUC